This 2638-nucleotide long non-coding RNA is filed under the name Setaria viridis. Its description in RNAcentral is "long non-coding RNA (SVIR_LNC008517)". The record is from RNAcentral. Lineage: Eukaryota; Viridiplantae; Streptophyta; Magnoliopsida; Poales; Poaceae.
CGCGGCACUCUUGUUUCAUUUGGCGUGGGUUCGUUGUGCCGGCAACAAGUGAUGUGCUAGCAACCCGAUAUGCCUGCAGCCCCGGUCUGCGCUACCGCUCUCUCGAGUCUCGACGACGCGCUGCUCAUCCACAAGACUGUAGGAGAAAGGGGCGUUCUGGGUGCGCGCAAUUGUUCGUGAAGAACACGGCGUCAUAGCAACAUCGGCUGAAGCCAAUGGCGCUUACUUGGCUGGCUGGCGCAGCGACAGAACGGCCGAGUGGGAGAGCUGCACGCGAGGUGCUCGACGAAAUGGCCAGAGGCCCACUCAAGGCGCGUCCCGCUGGCGGUGGUGUACGCCAAACUGAGCAGUCUUUUUUUUUCUUGAGCAUGAAUGUAGCUUUCAGCAAUUUGACGGGUGAAUGUGUUAUUGCAGGAAGGCCAGCUGCGGGAGAGUAGAAUUAUUAACUCCAAGUGAUCCUGAUCCUUGUGAUCCUUUCUGCGAGUACUCUAUAUGCAUGCUCUGUCCAACAAAAUUACUGGAGAAAUUUCAAACUAGCUCACUUUGUCUCUCUGGAUGUUACUGUUGGCAGGUUAUCUCUGACGGAGCCAGCUAGAUUGCGCUGUUAAGCACUAUUACCGUGCUGAUUAAUGGUAAGUUCACAUUUGAACCGUUGAAAAGGUGUGCUUUGUUGCUUUCACCUUACAUUUCUACUUGGGUCGCAUUAUCCUUGAUUUAGUAUUUAUUCAUGGGUUCCAUAUCAAAAUACCAUCCGUAAAACAAUGGUUGAAAAGAGAUGGAAUACAGAAAGAUCGUAUAUUAAGAUUACACAAACAGAUAUACAUACACACUUCAGGAAACUGUGGCACAAAACAGAUAUACAUACACACUUCAGGAAACUGUGGCACAAACAUGUUCAGAGGUGUUUGCACAGCAUGUUCCCCACCUUCCGAGAGAAUAAGGUGCCUGUGAACUACGAAACAAAACAUCGUGUACAUAUUUUGCAUGUAUUGAUGCUUGUGGAGAAGUUAGACAGAUUUGACGACAUAGGACAAAGGUCACAGGGAGCAGGAAUGGAAAGGAAAAACAAUCCUUCCUUUCACACACAUUCAUGGUUAGGCGUCACUUUUUUUUACAGUCAACUAGUUCCUGAACAACAUAAAGAAAACAUUAAACAGGCAUUGUCGGCAUUGAUGUUGCCUUUCCUUUUCCCUUUGAGAACGACAAUGGCUAAUGGAUAACAAAUAUGUCUGCAUUCAUAAUCUUUUGACAGAAACUGGAAAAACUUGUCUGCAUUCUAAUGGGACCAAAUUUUGUUACAAUAAUAUACACCAGUUGCUAUGCUGCAGUUGAACCAUUGGCUAAAAUAAAAUUGAUUUAAGGUUACCUAACUACUGAUGUUGUCAGCAAAGAUUGGGAUAAGUGCUAAGUCAGCUAGGACCAUAUUCUUUAUGGACAUCACUGAUGUGAAACGACAGGGGGCUAAUUCUUUAUGGAUGCUUGUUUGACAGGCUUUCUUCAGUCAUUGUUUUUUUUUCUUCAGUCCUUGUUCUUCCAUGUUGUGCUUAAGUUAAAAGCUCAAGGACUUUCUAACUGAAGUGUGACAUGGCACUGAGUAGUAAGUUGUUUUAACACAGCUGCACAAGGAUACUACAAUAACUUUCUGCAAGCAUUUCGAUGGUUUUAAGUUGUCUUUCCAUUUAAGACGGAAAGCUUCUUUACUUGAACAUAUUGAAAAUUUGGUGGUUCUCAUAGCUUUAUGUGUGAUAUUUCCAUGAGUAUUUUCAUGUUUUGCAAACUUUCUAUCGUUAACGUUUUGCAAAUGUGGCAUCCGCCCGCCUUGGCUCUUUGAAAUAUAAGAUUCUCUUCAGGCAGAGUGGAAAUACUGAGCCCCAAGUACAUAUUGUUGGUGAAAUGGUUAUUGAACAUAGUAACAAUUAGGAUUUGCAAUACUUGGAUUUUUUUUUAAAAAAAUAGCUGGAUUGAAUCAUAGUCAUUCCCAGUUGCAGAUCACUUAGGGAAAAACUGGGUCAACUGGAUUUAACAAAUUGUUAGUGCAUAUUGUACAUUGAUUGGGUCAUAUUAAUCUAAAAGACUCAUACACGCACGACAGAUGCCUUCCAUCUAAUUUAUCACCUUAAUCUGCAGGCAUAUUUGGAUAAGGAAGGUAUAUGCUUUGCCGAUUUUUUGAAUUUUGGAUAAUAACUGAUAUUGACAGCUUGUAAUGAUUUUGCAAUUUUGCAAAACUAACAAAUCGACUUCUCAAUUUUUCACUAGUCAAAUGAGCAUAUAUAGAUACUCUAAUAGAACAACAACAUUUGGCACCGUCGCACAGAUCCACUUCUUCGUCACAAUCAAUCAAACUCCAUGCACAAAUUAAACGAACAUCAAAGUAACUUACAACAGACUACAAGAGUGAUCACAACUCACAAGUAGUCCUUUUUCUUGAGUCAUGUAGAUCGUGCUUUCUCCCUGUCCCUGUAACAAGCAAGCUACCAAGCUGAUCUGCUCAUUACUUAUUGCAACGUCCCACAUUCACAAUAGACAUCACUGUGCACACUGCACACACACAUCUACUGACAAUCGAUUAGCUUGCAGCCACACCAGUGAAUCCUGAAGAAUCAGAUCCGGCGACAACACGAUGAACGCCUGCAGCGGU